UACGAAGGGGCUAGCGUUGUUCGGAAUCACUGGGCGUAAAGCGCACGUAGGCGGAUCUUUAAGUCAGGGGUGAAAUCCCGAGGCUCAACCUCGGAACUGCCUUUGAUACUGGGAUCUCGAGUCCGGGAGAGGUGAGUGGAACUGCGAGUGUAGAGGUGAAAUUCGUAGAUAUUCGCAAGAACACCAGUGGCGAAGGCGGCUCACUGGCCCGGAACUGACGCUGAGGUGCGAAAGCGUGGGAGCAAACAGG
RNAcentral lists this ribosomal RNA (250 nucleotides) under uncultured bacterium. RNAcentral describes it as "partial 16S ribosomal RNA". It matches the Rfam family "Bacterial small subunit ribosomal RNA", at positions 524 to 776 of the family's 1533-position model. The record is from RNAcentral.